GAUGAACGCUGGCGGCGUGCCUAAUACAUGCAAGUCUAGCGAACGGACGAGAAGCUUGCUUCUCUGAUGUUAGCGGCGGACGGGUGAGUAACACGUGGAUAACCUACCUAUAAGACUGGGAUAACUUCGGGAAACCGGAGCUAAUACCGGAUAAUAUUUUGAACCGCAUGGUUCAAAAGUGAAAGACGGUCUUGCUGUCACUUAUAGAUGGAUCCGCGCUGCAUUAGCUAGUUGGUAAGGUAACGGCUUACCAAGGCAACGAUGCAUAGCCGACCUGAGAGGGUGAUCGGCCACACUGGAACUGAGACACGGUCCAGACUCCUACGGGAGGCAGCAGUAGGGAAUCUUCCGCAAUGGGCGAAAGCCUGACGGAGCAACGCCGCGUGAGUGAUGAAGGUCUUCGGAUCGUAAAACUCUGUUAUUAGGGAAGAACAUAUGUGUAAGUAACUGUGCACAUCUUGACGGCACCUAAUCAGAAAGCCACGGCUAACUACGUG
Molecule: ribosomal RNA, 497 nt
Filed under: uncultured bacterium
Lineage: Bacteria
Description: partial 16S ribosomal RNA
Rfam family: Bacterial small subunit ribosomal RNA
Source: RNAcentral